RNAcentral lists this ribosomal RNA (253 nucleotides) under uncultured bacterium. RNAcentral's name for it is "partial 16S ribosomal RNA". It matches the Rfam family "Bacterial small subunit ribosomal RNA", at positions 524 to 776 of the family's 1533-position model. The record is from RNAcentral.
UACGUAGGGUGCGAGCGUUGUCCGGAAUUAUUGGGCGUAAAGAGCUCGUAGGCGGCUUGUCGCGUCGGAUGUGAAAGCCCGGGGCUUAACCCCGGGUCUGCAUUCGAUACGGGCAGGCUAGAGUGUGGUAGGGGAGAUCGGAAUUCCUGGUGUAGCGGUGAAAUGCGCAGAUAUCAGGAAGAACACCCGUGGCGAAGGCGGCUCUCUGGAACGCAACUGACGCUGAGACGCGAAAGCGUGGGGAGCAAACAGG